This 300-nucleotide long non-coding RNA is filed under the name Nicotiana benthamiana. Its description in RNAcentral is "long non-coding RNA (NBEN_LNC001741)". Lineage: Eukaryota; Viridiplantae; Streptophyta; Magnoliopsida; Solanales; Solanaceae. The record is from RNAcentral.
UAUAGCCAUCUAUCGUUGAACUAGAAAUCCUUCUCUGACAAUUUAAUAGGAACGGAACUGACAGCAGUUCUAAAGAAAGUCACGCACAUCUAGUGAAGGGCUAAUAUCAAAUUUACAGAAUUACUUGUUACAUGUGCUGGUGGGAGGUACCCCCAGAAAUUAGUCGAGGUGCACGCAAGCUGGCCCCAACACCGCGGUUAUAUAGAAAAAGUACUGUACAAUAGGCAAAGAUGAAUAUAAUUUUGGAACUUGUUCUUUGGAUUAUUACUUGUUAUGUACAUUGUCACCUAUAGAAUGAUG